Molecule: long non-coding RNA, 1498 nt
Filed under: Coturnix japonica (Japanese quail)
Lineage: Eukaryota; Metazoa; Chordata; Aves; Galliformes; Phasianidae
Description: lncRNA (ENSCJPG00005003618.1)
Source: RNAcentral
UUCAGAGCGAAGUCCCACCCCUGCUCAGUAACACGAUUUCAGAGGAGCACAGCGGCUGGAGCAGGCCCCGCAUCCCGACGCCGUCGCUUCCCCUCCGCCCACCAGCACUGCCUGGAGCCGACCGGCCCGGGACCCCGUAGCGGCUCGGCCCUGCCCCCCGCGCAGAUGGCUCCGCCGCCACAUGGGAGAUGCCGGCCGGGAAAUCUGUCGCCGUCGGCACAAGACAAAACCGCCGGUCGGCGAUGAAAGGAGCGGGGAGCGGCCCCACAGAGCCCCCUCCGGAACAAUGGCGGUCCCUCAGGAGCCCGCGGCCGAGCGCCGACAAAGGCUGUGGCUGCCCCCGGGCCGCAGCUGCCCGGUCCUGCAGAAGCUGCAGAAGUUCAGGACGCUGAACUUGUCGUGUGCUGAGGAGCCAGCCGAGCAGCACAGGUCAUUAGUCACCCAGUUGCAGGCUGAGUGUUGGUGAUGUCUGCUUCAUCCUGGAACUUAGGAGAAAAGCUGGCAGGGAGAACCACGCUGAGGCAUUCUGGACUGCAGCCCCAAUGUACCUUCCCAUUCUGCCACGGAUCUUUGGUCAGAAAAGGCUGUUUUCAGGUUGUGCUGCCAUCACAACAGCCAUAGGAAUGUAGAAUCACAGAAUCACCAAGGUUGGAAAAGACCUCCAGUCCAACCAACCACCCACUGCCAAUGUUUCCCUGCUCAAGCAUGUCCCUUAGUGCACCACCUAAACAUUAAACCAGUUAAAGAUGUGCUGCAGUGAGCAUGAGUGGUUGAAAGCACUGAAUCCAUCAUACUGCUGCUGCUCACCCUACACAUUCAGGCAGCUCUCACUGGAGCUUUCAGGUGCGUUUUAUCAGAAUACAUAUGUAACAAGGUGAUAUUACACACUCACUGACUCAUUUUUACUUUCCCUCAGAUGUGCCAACUGUUAAAUAUAACGUUCUCAUUGGCUUGUAUUACCACAGAAUUAAAUAAUAAUUGUAGCAGUACAAACCAGACCUCAACCUACCAGAAAAUUCAUGCUUUGGGCUAACGUGGUUUCUGUGACAAGCUUUUAUUCACAACACUGUGAUGUAAGGGCGAAGUGUCAAUAUCGUCUUUGAAUAUUUGAUUGAUUUGGCUGGCCAGACACUUACAGCUAUUUAAACACUGUUUUGUAUAUUUAAUUAUAUCAUACAUGAUGUCAUUUUUCACUACAGACGCCUUUGACUUUUAUUUCAGCCAGUAAUUACUAAACAGUAAUUAAGCUUUCACAACUGUAAGUGCUUGUCACGAUCCCUGUAUCCUGCUGAGCAGGUGACAGCAGGAGCAGCAAAGUUUAUGUUUCACAUAUUUAUUUGCUUUCAGAUAUUCAGAUUUAUUUACUUUCAGCUUAUAUAUCAGUAAUUUUUCUGUAUACAGAGGAAGGACUGGGGCCAAAACAUCACAUUAAAGAGUCUCUGCAUUCCCUUACAGAGAUUAACGGGAAUAAAGAAUGGAUUAACUGUGUUAGAAAUCA